CCAAGCUUUUACAGAAAUGACCACCUAUAUAUAUGAUAACCACCCUUUACCCAGGGCUCCACCCCUGAUACUCACUCAAGACCUCCCCUGCCCUGGAUUUACACUUCCCUCACUCACACAUGCCCCUUUUCCUGGCUAGCCUUUGGCCUGCCUUCUCAGGCUCUUACACACAUACAUUAGUCACCCUCCUGUUUCCUACCUUUUAGAUGCAGGAGGAUG
Pelobates cultripes (western spadefoot toad) is the source of this 219-nucleotide non-coding RNA. NCBI's taxonomy places the organism in Eukaryota, Metazoa, Chordata, Amphibia, Anura, Pelobatidae. The record is from the annotation of a GenBank genome assembly.